GACAUGAACAGCUCUUUCUGCCUUUUUUUGGGUGUGAGGAAUUUAGACUGUCAUUGCCAUGUCUAUGGAGUUGCUGGGUGGGUGAGGAGAACCAGGAAGAGUGACGUGCUGGUCUCCCAUGACAGAGGAGUGAGCAAUGUAUUGGAGAAUCUUCUUUACAAGAGAACUAACCAAAGCCCCAGCAUACGGUGUUUGUUGACGUCAAUGGUCUGAAACAUUCUCUGAACGGAUUGUCCGGCCAAAUCUAUGAUGGUUGAAGUUUCAAGGCCAUGUGGUUUGCGGCCAGUUGCAAAACUGAAGGAUAUCCAUAAAUGUCUAGAAGCAUACAACUCUCGGCUUUUCAAAUCUGCCCACAAGGCAGGUAGAGAGAUGGAUUUCAAAACCAACAGACACUGUUCUUUCUCCUUGCAAUGAUGGCAUUCAUCAUCUUUGUUUUCCUAGCAUUAUGAUUUUCCAUGAGUUAUCACCACUUUUAUGACACAUUCUGGGGUGUGUACAGGAGAAGACUAAGCUGCUGGGAAUACUUUUUGGGGGCUCCAAAAUUGUGGGUGAUGUCAAGAUGUUAAGUCGCUUCUUUUUAAGAGUAUGAUGAAUAUCUUAGCUACAAGUCUUUCAUGGGGCUGGCCGAUGAGGCUGAGAGAGCCCUUCAAUAAUGCCUAUUAAAACAAACCUUCAGCACGGUCCCAAAGUGUCACUUCCCCCUGUCACUUCUUUUAAUUAUAUAGAACUUCUUAAAAUAGAAAUGAUUCACAUUCAAUUAGUAUCAAGCUGACCCACCAUUAAUAUAAUCCCCAAUAUAAACCCAGAAGGAAGUACCAGUAAAAUAAAACAAAGUUGUAUAAAUAUUCUUUAUUUCACUAUAGAAUAAAUACCUUAGCACCUCUGAACAUUCAGUAUUUCCCAAGGGUCUACAUAGCAUAGAGCAGCAGGGGUAAGCACCAACAUGAGCUAUUUUAUUUGACAUGAACAAACAAAUAAGCUAGUGAUGAGUUUGGAUAAAGUGGUUAACAAAUUCCAAGUUGACAUCUGUCUUCCUGAGUUUCUCAUGGUUACAGUAUGUACAUAGUUUUGACAAUCUGGUGCUGGUUGGGAAUUUUGGAUUCCAUUGUUAAUGGGCAUUUUACUGUGCAUAUGAGACUUCUGUGUGAGGUAUGGUAUAUAGAGAGAAAAAAACAAAGCGCCAACAAAACUAUAGGCUGCUCGGGAGGCUAUGAAAUAGUCAUUUGAAAUUCAUCACCAGUAGAACUCUCUCCCACCAUGUUGACGUUAGUUCUCACUACCAGGCAGAAAAUUUGGUUCUGAGGGUACAAUGAAAAUAGAUUGUGGUUCACGACAUGUAAUGAAAAUAAAUAAAGCAUGACAGAGAAUCCCCCCAAAAUACGUUCCUUGUAAGGACCUGCAACUGCUUUAUUAUUGCAGGGUCUCACUUGAAAGCAUUUUUGUCAUUUCUUGGGGAAAAAUUUAAAUAGUUGCAGAUACUUUUGGAAUAGUAAUUACCUAGGAAUGGUAAAGUUCAGGAAAUGGAGUUGGGCAUGUUGGGGAACCACUUCCCCCAUGAAGCUGGGCCGCCGAGUCAGCAGAAUCUCCCCCCAGAAAGAAGUCACUCUGACAAAUCUGCUUCUUAAAUUAUUUGGGGGGAUUUUUUUUUCUAAUGGAGGUCAUACUCAGACCAGGUUCUUCCUAGCAUUCUAGUCUUAGUGUGCUGUGUAAGUUGUGGCAAAAUUCCCUUUAAACACAAUGCACUCAGUGACAGGGAUGAUGUUCAAGACCCAACACAUAAUCAGUUGUAAGACCAGGUGUCUGGCCAGCAGAUUGGAAAGACAAACACUGAACAUGCAUAUCAUUAGCUCAAGUAUGAAAAUUACAUUAAACUGUACAACUUCUGCCCCCCAAGUUUAUGUUUAGCAGACAAUACCUGGAUGGAAAACAAAACAAAAUAAAAUAAAACAAAAUGUU
Molecule: long non-coding RNA, 1956 nt
Organism: Vombatus ursinus (common wombat)
Lineage: Eukaryota; Metazoa; Chordata; Mammalia; Diprotodontia; Vombatidae
Exons: 2
Source: RefSeq, a predicted model, not a curated record